RNAcentral lists this unclassified non-coding RNA (356 nucleotides) under Hevea brasiliensis (rubber tree). Lineage: Eukaryota; Viridiplantae; Streptophyta; Magnoliopsida; Malpighiales; Euphorbiaceae. The record is from RNAcentral.
UCCUUGGAUCAUCCAAGUCUAUGUCUAUAGUUCUGCCUUCAAGAACAACUGCACCUUGACGAUUAAGGUCUUGUGACAAAGUCCUUUUAUAGUGCUCAUUUUGUGAUUCAGUUAUCUCCUUGCCACCAUCACGAAAGAUUCCAUGAUCUGGAAGGUGUGUGUAAUCAUCUCCUAGAUCCGCUUCCAAAUCCAAUGUAGGAUCAACAUGCCGAAUCUUUUUCCGAGUUUCAGCAGCCAAUAUCUCGUCAUCCUUCAGAAAAAGGGCAAGUUCUUCGUCUUCAGCAGCCUCUGCUGCAGCUGCAAUAGAAUUUUUGGUACUAUGAAGGUACUCCGCUCUAAAAUAUUUUGUCCAAAAG